This 337-nucleotide long non-coding RNA is filed under the name Capsicum annuum. RNAcentral's name for it is "long non-coding RNA (CANN_LNC012156)". The record is from RNAcentral. Lineage: Eukaryota; Viridiplantae; Streptophyta; Magnoliopsida; Solanales; Solanaceae.
ACAAUGUAAUUAUACUAAAUCAGUAGAACGUCACAUAAAACAACAUUAAUUUUACAUAACAACAAAUUUAACGAUCACAACGAAUAUGUAAUUUAAAGUAACAAUACAUUACGAUACAAAAGAGUGACUAAUUAAACACUUCUAUCAAAUAUUAUUAUGAGUUAUUGUUGUGAAAUAGGAUGAAAACACGAUUCUCUAAUUUCCUCCUUUAUAUACAUGAGUUAAUCCCACUAAUCUGUACAGCUGUCAACCACUAAAAAAUAACCAACUCAUUAAAGGACCCAAUUAGUUAUAACUAACUUUAACUACACUGUUAGGCAACUAAUAACUAACAAAU